Molecule: long non-coding RNA, 703 nt
Filed under: Homo sapiens (human)
Lineage: Eukaryota; Metazoa; Chordata; Mammalia; Primates; Hominidae
Description: HSALNT0301450
Source: RNAcentral
GCGGCCAAUGUAGUCAGUCUGGGGACCCACCUCCCCCUUUCAGCUGAGCGCACACAACACAGCAUCCACGUGAGUCAGCUUCUUAAAGGCGAAGGCUUGGCCUGUCUAAUUGCGGCAGCUGCGAGACAUCGCACGUCAUUAGCGUCACCAGGUAGCGGCUGGAGCCGAGCUUCCUGAUACCUAGUGAGCCGCGGUGAUGACAAAUGAAAACAAUAAGCUGUUUCCUAGACAAACAGCUGCCUAGUUUCGCUCUGUCGCCCAGGCUGGAGUGCAGUGGCACAAUCUCGGUUCACUGCAACCUCUGCCUCCCGGGUUCAAGCAGUUCUCUUGCCUCAGCCUCCCAAGUAACUGGUACUACAGAGAAUUGAUACAAAAAAUGAUCAUGUGAAGAAUUUGCAUCUUCUGCAGAACUACCGGUAUCAGUCAGCAGUAGGAGAUUGUAUAAAUUCAGCCUGAGAUUCCAGAAUAUUCUGUGUAUUGACCACCACAGCAAGAAGAAAAAGUCCAUGUAGGACUGAAAUGGUCCUGUAGUUUUCACAGCACUUUCCCAAGCACUGUCUUAUGGUUUCUGCACAUCAACCCAGGAAAGCAGACAAAGAUGAGAUGAUGAAUCCUGCCUAACCAAUGAGGAAUCAGAGGCUAAGAGAUUCUAGCGCCUUACUCAUGCCACAGGGCUGGACCUCUUCCUAUGACAGCUUCUGUC